AACGAACGCUGGCGGCAUGCCUAACACAUGCAAGUCGAACGAAGGCUUCGGCCUUAGUGGCGCACGGGUGCGUAACGCGUGGGAACCUGCCCCUUGGUUCGGAAUAACACAGAGAAAUUUGUGCUAAUACCGGAUGAUGACUUCGGUCCAAAGAUUUAUCGCCGAGGGAUGGGCCCGCGUAGGAUUAGGUAGUUGGUGGGGUAAUGGCCUACCAAGCCGACGAUCCUUAGCUGGUCUGAGAGGAUGAUCAGCCACACUGGGACUGAGACACGGCCCGAACUCCUACGGGAGGCAGCAGUUGGGAAUUUUGCGCAAUGGACGAAAGUCUGACGCAGCGACGCCGCGUGGAGGAUGAAGGCCUUCGGGUUGUAAACUCCUUUUACUAGGGAGUAACUUGUGAAAGUACCUAGUGAAUAAGCACCGGCUAACUCCGUGCCAGCCGCCGCAGUAA
RNAcentral lists this ribosomal RNA (451 nucleotides) under uncultured bacterium. RNAcentral's name for it is "partial 16S ribosomal RNA". It matches the Rfam family "Bacterial small subunit ribosomal RNA", at positions 29 to 523 of the family's 1533-position model. The record is from RNAcentral.